UUUAAUCGAAGCCUUUUAUUUUUUCCUUUUUUCCUUCACUCAUUUCACCCACAUCCUGACUUUCACUCUCCCUCUCUCUGCAUUACUCUCAACUCAUCAUCUCUCGCCCUCAUAUGCUCACAGUUUCAAUGAUCGCAUCUUUUCGUCUAUUUUUCCUUCACGGAUCCAUAAAGAAAUAGAGAGAUCUUAUUCAUUUCCCACAAAUCUUAUUUAUUUGUUGUUUAUUUUUUUAUUUUGCUAUUCGCAUGAUCUGGGUUGAUUUUCGCCUCUAUUUGUCUAUAUGGUUAUUUAUUUAUUUUUUUUGUUCCUAUAGAUAUGAAUGAAUAGAUCUUGAAGCGAUUUGGGUGUUUUUGGUUUUUGUAUGCUCUAGGUUGAUCUUCUUCUCUCUAUGGCUAUUUUUCCAUCACGGAUCCGUAGGGAAAUGGAGAGACCGUCAUUUCCCACAGACCUUCUUCAUUUGUUUAUGUUUUUUGUUUUUUAAUUUUGUCGUUCAGAUGCUCACAGUUGAUCUUUGCCUCUCAUUGUCUAUAUUGUUCUUUAUAUUUUUUUUAUUUUUUUCUAUAGAUCUAAACAUCUCUUCAUAGAUUUGAAGAGAUCUUGUUCAGAUCUGGUUAUUUUUUUUUUAUUUUGCAGUUCGCUUAUGAAUAGCUGAACAGAUCUUCACAGAGUUGAAGAGAUCUUGUUCACAUCUGAGUUUCUUUUUUUAUCUUUUUUAUUUUGCUGUUGUUCUUUAUGGUUUUUUUCUGCAAAUUUUAGUACAUAACGUCGAUAUAUUUUUUUAAAAUAUUUUUUUUUGUCUUUGGGUUUUUUUUUUUUUCACAUUUUCUGCUCGAUCGACUGCAUGUUUUUUUGGUUCUCAUUUCAUUUUUUUUAAAGUAGAUGCUUAUUUUUGGUCGCUUGAUGGCUUUUCUUUUUACCAUGAAGCCCUUUGUUAAUGGUGGAACAUCUUGUAUGCUCACUACAUGCGUCAUCCAACCCAUUGAUAUGAUCAAGGUGAGGAUUCAAUUGGGUUAGGAAUCAGCAGCCCAAGUGGCGACGAUCAUGCUUAAGGAGGAGGGCUUUGGUGUCUUUUACAAGCUUCUAUUCCAAUGCAAUAGCUGGCACACGUAUAGAAGGGAAAAAAUAAGAAGAAAUGGGACUGUAGUCUUUCAAAGUUGUAACUUAUUAUAAUGUUUUGUCAUUAUAAUUUAUAGGAAAAUAAAAUAGUAUCCCUGCCUAAUUAAUUUGGCACUAUUUUUCUUCAAAAAUUUGAGUUAUUAUAUUAAUGGAAUUCAAACAGACAACACAUUUGGUCACUGGGAUAUAAUUAUAAUUUGGCACUGUUUUCCUUCAA
Long non-coding RNA from Carya illinoinensis, 1333 nucleotides. RefSeq lists it as uncharacterized. The record is from RefSeq and is a predicted model, not a curated record. The transcript has 3 exons. NCBI's taxonomy places the organism in Eukaryota, Viridiplantae, Streptophyta, Magnoliopsida, Fagales, Juglandaceae.